This 793-nucleotide ribosomal RNA is filed under the name uncultured bacterium. RNAcentral's name for it is "bacterial SSU rRNA". It matches the Rfam family "Bacterial small subunit ribosomal RNA", at positions 8 to 796 of the family's 1533-position model. The record is from RNAcentral.
AGAGUUUGAUCAUGGCUCAGGAUGAACGCUAGCGGCAGGCCUAAUACAUGCAAGUCGAGGGGCAACAGGUGUAGCAAUACAUGCUGGCGACCGGCGCACGGGUGCGUAACACGUAUGUAACCUACCUAUAACUUGGGGAUAGCCCGGAGAAAUCCGGAUUAAUAUCCAAUAACACUGCGAGAUGGCAUCAUCUUGUUGUUAAAGAUUUAUCGGUUAUAGAAGGACAUGCGGCUGAUUAGCUAGUUGGUGAGGUAAUGGCUCACCAAGGCCACGAUCAGUAGGGGACCUGAGAGGGUGAUCCCCCACACUGGUACUGAGAUACGGACCAGACUCCUACGGGAGGCAGCAGUAGGGAAUAUUGGGCAAUGGACGCAAGUCUGACCCAGCCAUGCCGCGUGAAGGAAGAAGGCUUUCUGAGUUGUAAACUUCUUUUUGAUCGGGAACAAAGAGCUCUUGCGAGAGCAGUUGAGUGUACCGAUAGAAUAAGCACCGGCUAACUCCGUGCCAGCAGCCGCGGUAAUACGGAGGGUGCAAGCGUUGUCCGGAUUUAUUGGGUUUAAAGGGUGCGUAGGCGGUCUUUUAAGUCAGUGGUGAAAGCCUCCAGCUCAACUGGAGAAAUGCCAUUGAUACUGGAAGACUUGAGUAUAGUUGAGGUAGGCGGAAUUGACGGUGUAGCGGUGAAAUGCAUAGAUAUCGUCAAGAACACCGAUUGCGAAGGCAGCUUACUAAACUAUAACUGACGCUGAGGCACGAAAGUGCGGGGAUCAAACAGGAUUAGAUACCCUAGUAGUCC